AUGCAGGAAACGGAACCCAGGCUUUCACAUAGGCCUGGAAUAAUGGACAAUGGAACCAAGGUGACCUGGAGUGCACGCCUGUUGCUUUUUGGUGACAUUAGGGGUAAACACCGCUUCCUGCCCAAGGUCACACAAGCCAGGGAGCAGGCCCAGAAUGCAGACCAGGUGGCCUGGAGGCGCAAGGCAGGAGCGGGGUCUGGAGACUGUGUCCUGCUGUCGCCCUGCCAGGCUCUGACGCGUGGAGAAGAUGCCAUCAGCAGUUACUAUGUCCCUGCACAUCGAGACCAAGAAAGAGGUGUGAGCAGGGGACCCAGGAGAGGUUCUCCACAGAACCAGACCCAGAAUUUGGCUGCCAUAUUGUCCCAGCCUGGUCUCUUUUGGGAUUGGGCCAGGAGGUGGAAUCUGCUCUAUGGAGAGGGGUGCCUUUACAUUUAAUUCUGUGGGUUUUUAAAGAUCUUGUUUGUUUGUUUGUUUGUUUGUUCCUAAUGCAAAGGCCAGAGACUUGUAGAGAAAGAAGACUUUGGCCAAUGGUAGGAGAUGCCAAUGGUGACCAACUCCUCCUUUCCACCUAGGGACAGAUUCCGGAUCUUGUCUGUGUCUCCAAGGACUUGGUAGUGGCUUUAUUUGUUUCCCAGGGCCUCAGCCUCCAGAAUGUGGGAGUACAGGUGUGAACCACCGUGCCCAGCUGGCAAUGGCUUUUAGCUCCCUUUAGAGGAAAAGUUCCAGGCAUGAGGUCACUGCUCUGGGUGACAAAGGCAGCACAAGGGUGGGAGCCCUGGGUGAGAGAGUCAGACAGCGAGAAGCUGCCACCGAAGAGGAUGCUGGGACCGUAGGGCUGGGCUGGCUCAACUGGUUCAGCCCCACCAAGAAAGGGCAAGUCAGAUCUGGCUCGGGAGGCGGGAGGGGUGGGGUGCUGACUCAGGGCCUGGUGGGUCAGGUGACAACGCAAGGACAGCUGUUGCCUGGGUGUUUUUAGAAAACUUCAGCUGCCAGCCUCUCUUGCGGGCUACUUCUGCACCUCCUCGGAAGUGGGCAGAGAAAGCAAGGGCAUCAUCUUUAAAACAGGCUCAGGGGCAGGCGGUGCUGUCUGGCCAUGCUGUGCUGACCCUAUCCGUACUGGGCCUGGAAGACAAGAGCAGAAAUUAGUCACGAGACUGCUUUAUUUUUGGUACUGGAGAUCGAACUCGGGUCCUUGUGCUCGUGAGGCAGGCGGUGAAACCACUGAGCUAAACCCCCAAAGAUUGUUUAUCUUUUCUGCUCAGGUCUUGUCAGGCACCUUGCCAAGAAUCCAUGCAGAAUUAAGAGAGCAGGCCUUGAAGUCAGGAGGGCUUGGGUUCAAAACCUAACUUUAUGGGCUGGGGAUUUAACUCAGUGGUUCUGCCGCCUGCCUUGCAAGCACCAGGUCCAGAGUUUGAUCCCUGGUACCAAAAAAAAAAAAAAAAACACCAAACCACAACCCAACUUUACCACUUAUUAUUGAUAUGAAUUGGAUCAAGUUUAAAACUUUUAAUUAUGGAAAAGUUCUAAUAUAUGCAAAUUAAAUGUAUCAGUAUAAUGAAUGUUCACAUCCUCCUUACGUGGUUGGAAUAAUUAUCAACUCCUGGCCAAGUUCCUUUCAUCGGCCUUCAUGCACCCUCCUUUCCCUGGUUAUUUUGAAGGAGGUGGCAGGCAUCAUCUCAUAUAAUCUACGUUAGCUUCUUUAACCCCACCUCCUUUCAACAUGGACCAUUAGGAGAAAAUCAUCAUAACUGACUGAAAUUAGUUUUGAUAAAAUUCUUUUUUUUUUUUGGUAGCGGGGAUUGAACUCAAGUCCUCACGCUUGCCAGGCAGGUGCCAGAACCACUGAGCUAAAUCCUCUGCCCAGAUAAAAUUCUUUUUUUAAUGUAGGAUAGGAUGUUUGGUUCUAAAUAAAUAUAGCUCUGCACCACGACUUUCAUUCCACACCCUGACUUCAAAUAAAUUCAAGAGAAAGUAAAAGGUUGAAAGGAAUGUACAUAAUAUGUAUAACGCAUAAUGUGUAUAAUGCAUUUAUUCUGUCACACUAAAAAAUAAAGUAUAACUCUAUGACUUUUUCCCUCUAAUUACAGAAAGUUAAAUAAUGUAUUACCAUGAAAAACAUUUCUAAUAAAUAGAACAUACCCAACUGCAAGGUUCCUAAUGUAUAUUUUUAAAGCACAUAUCUGCUUAGUAAACAAGUUGUCACACGAGUAAAAUUUAGUGUUUGAAACUUUGAGAGCUCUUCUCCUAUGUAUCGCCAAAUAAAGGUUAUGCUUCUGUUAAAAAAAACCUACCU
Long non-coding RNA from Fukomys damarensis (Damara mole-rat), 2293 nucleotides. The record is from Ensembl. Lineage: Eukaryota; Metazoa; Chordata; Mammalia; Rodentia; Bathyergidae.